UUGUAAAACAUUACAUCGAAAGGAGCAACUGUAGAUAGUAAAAUGUUUUAACGGUCAUAAAUAAACUUAAAUUU
RNAcentral lists this small RNA (74 nucleotides) under Arabidopsis thaliana (thale cress). RNAcentral describes it as "ATSL046290". Lineage: Eukaryota; Viridiplantae; Streptophyta; Magnoliopsida; Brassicales; Brassicaceae. The record is from RNAcentral.